CAGAAAGUAAUUUAAAUAAAAAUUCUGCCUUUGGGAGGCAGUCAUCCGUUACCUCGGCUCUCUGA
This 65-nucleotide transfer RNA is filed under the name Seepiophila jonesi. RNAcentral describes it as "tRNA-Pro". Lineage: Eukaryota; Metazoa; Annelida; Polychaeta; Sabellida; Siboglinidae. The record is from RNAcentral.